RNAcentral lists this long non-coding RNA (1125 nucleotides) under Canis lupus familiaris (dog). RNAcentral describes it as "lncRNA (ENSCAFG00845023734.1)". The record is from RNAcentral. Lineage: Eukaryota; Metazoa; Chordata; Mammalia; Carnivora; Canidae.
AUGCGGGAGAAGCAUCUGCCACGACUUUGCUUCUGGAAAGAGGGGGGUUGUGGGGUGAGGGGUCACACUGCUGGGGGCCUUUCCAGACUCCAGCGGGGACUUGAGCCCAAGAGUGGCCCCAGGAAGGAGACCCCGGCGCUGACCCGAGGUGCCUCCCUGGCCGCUGAAAGGAGAGGCUGCCCAGCCGUCUGUGGGGCCAGCUCACAGGGAGUGGAGCGCCCUGCAACCGGAGGCCUUCCCUGUGCGGCUGACGGUCGGGCAGGCUCUGACCCGCAGGUGGGUGCACCCGACGCUGGCGGGAAUAGCAGGGCUGUGGGAGCCGAGACCCGGCACAGGGCUGCAGCCCCACUAGGUGCACUACAGAGGCGGCCCCGCACCUGCCUCCUCCUCUCAGCCCCCAGUUCCUCCCUGUCUCCACAGGGAGCAGGGAAGGGGCCACAGGUGCAGCAGCCUGUCCACAGAGCAGGAGCCACAGAGGCCCGUGAGGCCUGCCACUGGGGGACGGAGGAGGAACCCACAGCUAUGCAGCCGAGAUGGGACCCUGGCCCGUCGCCUGAGCCCACGACACCUUGGGUCCUUGCCACCACCGCUGCGCGUGCUGCCACUGUCACCAGCCGCGGAGGGCCUUCCUGUAGCCCACGCUCUAGGCGGCCGAGCAACAAGCAGAGUCCAGCUCUGGCAUCCCACUCUGGAGCCUCAGCCACUCCGGCCCCACUGUGCACGGAGACACUCGACAACCUCCCAGCUGUAGAAGUCAGCCGUCCACCGUGUCUACCACCCACGUGCCCUCACCGAGGGACCAAGCAUGCUGCCUUCCCAAGUGCCCUUUCUGGGCCAGGUGCACCAGGUGACGGCUCCAUCCCUUGCUCUCCCCUGCCUUCCCUGGCCCCGUCCCCUGCCCUCUCCUGCCCUCCCCUGCACUUGCCACCCCCAGGGGUGGCCGUCCCACUGCUGUGCUCCCAACCCAGAAAGUACCAGAAAACCAGGCCCCAUAGUCGGGCGGUCAGUCAGGACACUCGCAUCGUGGGGAGACUGACUUGGGGUUUCAGGCUUCAGCCUCCCACUGGCCAACAGUCACUGACAAAGGAAGUGGUAAAACUCAGGUUUCUGCACCAACAAGACUAA